Molecule: non-coding RNA, 72 nt
Filed under: unclassified sequences
Description: DUF3800-IX RNA
Rfam family: DUF3800-IX RNA
About the family: Actinobacteria, Firmicutes (1 example), Nitrospirae, Proteobacteria, Verrucomicrobia (1 example). Nearby to DUF3800
Source: Rfam by way of RNAcentral
GACCCUGACCCUCGAAUUGUCACCGGACGGUGCGCGUUCCAAACUAACGUUUGGAUAGAGACAGGGUCGUUU